AAGAGACCUCCCAAAAUCUAGUCUGAAGAGGCAAACGCAGGCUGUAAAAAAGCGGGAUGUGGUAUGAACCGCAUCCCGC
Small RNA from Pseudomonas sp. HPB0071, 79 nucleotides. It matches the Rfam family "Pseudomonas sRNA P31". Lineage: Bacteria; Pseudomonadati; Pseudomonadota; Gammaproteobacteria; Pseudomonadales; Pseudomonadaceae. The record is from Rfam.